GGGUCAGUAGGUUGGUCGUGCCACCGGUACGUACUGGUCUCACUGAUUCCUCCUUCCUGAAGAACCGUAAUGCCAUUAAUUUGGUGUUGCGGGGAAACAGGACUGUUACUUUGAAAAAAUUAGAGUGUUUAAAGCAAGCUAACGCUUGGAUACAUUAGCAUGGGAUAAUGAAAUAGGACGAUCGAUCCUAUUUUGUUGGUUUCUAGGAUUGACGUA
RNAcentral lists this ribosomal RNA (216 nucleotides) under Glomeromycotina sp. Its description in RNAcentral is "partial small subunit ribosomal RNA". The stretch from base 40 to 216 matches the Rfam family "Eukaryotic small subunit ribosomal RNA", at positions 686 to 864 of the family's 1831-position model. The record is from RNAcentral. Lineage: Eukaryota; Fungi; Glomeromycota.